GGGUUGUGAGGUUAAGCGACUAAGCGUACACGGUGGAUGCCCUGGCAGUCAGAGGCGAUGAAGGACGUGCUAAUCUGCGAUAAGCGUCGGUAAGGUGAUAUGAACCGUUAUAACCGGCGAUUUCCGAAUGGGGAAACCCAGUGUGUUUCGACACACUAUCAUUAACUGAAUCCAUAGGUUAAUGAGGCGAACCGGGGGAACUGAAACAUCUAAGUACCCCGAGGAAAAGAAAUCAACCGAGAUUCCCCCAGUAGCGGCGAGCGAACGGGGAGCAGCCCAGAGCCUGAAUCAGUGUGUGUGUUAGUGGAAGCGUCUGGAAAGGCGCGCGAUACAGGGUGACAGCCCCGUACACAAAAAUGCACAUGCUGUGAGCUCGAUGAGUAGGGCGGGACACGUGGUAUCCUGUCUGAAUAUGGGGGGACCAUCCUCCAAGGCUAAAUACUCCUGACUGACCGAUAGUGAACCAGUACCGUGAGGGAAAGGCGAAAAGAACCCCGGCGAGGGGAGUGAAAAAGAACCUGAAACCGUGUACGUACAAGCAGUGGGAGCACGCUUAGGCGUGUGACUGCGUACCUUUUGUAUAAUGGGUCAGCGACUUAUAUUCUGUAGCAAGGUUAACCGAAUAGGGGAGCCGAAGGGAAACCGAGUCUUAACUGGGCGUUAAGUUGCAGGGUAUAGACCCGAAACCCGGUGAUCUAGCCAUGGGCAGGUUGAAGGUUGGGUAACACUAACUGGAGGACCGAACCGACUAAUGUUGAAAAAUUAGCGGAUGACUUGUGGCUGGGGGUGAAAGGCCAAUCAAACCGGGAGAUAGCUGGUUCUCCCCGAAAGCUAUUUAGGUAGCGCCUCGUGAAUUCAUCUCCGGGGGUAGAGCACUGUUUCGGCAAGGGGGUCAUCCCGACUUACCAACCCGAUGCAAACUGCGAAUACCGGAGAAUGUUAUCACGGGAGACACACGGCGGGUGCUAACGUCCGUCGUGAAGAGGGAAACAACCCAGACCGCCAGCUAAGGUCCCAAAGUCAUGGUUAAGUGGGAAACGAUGUGGGAAGGCCCAGACAGCCAGGAUGUUGGCUUAGAAGCAGCCAUCAUUUAAAGAAAGCGUAAUAGCUCACUGGUCGAGUCGGCCUGCGCGGAAGAUGUAACGGGGCUAAACCAUGCACCGAAGCUGCGGCAGCGACGCUUAUGCGUUGUUGGGUAGGGGAGCGUUCUGUAAGCCUGUGAAGGUGUGUUGUGAGGCAUGCUGGAGGUAUCAGAAGUGCGAAUGCUGACAUAAGUAACGAUAAAGCGGGUGAAAAGCCCGCUCGCCGGAAGACCAAGGGUUCCUGUCCAACGUUAAUCGGGGCAGGGUGAGUCGACCCCUAAGGCGAGGCCGAAAGGCGUAGUCGAUGGGAAACAGGUUAAUAUUCCUGUACUUGGUGUUACUGCGAAGGGGGGACGGAGAAGGCUAUGUUGGCCGGGCGACGGUUGUCCCGGUUUAAGCGUGUAGGCUGGUUUUCCAGGCAAAUCCGGAAAAUCAAGGCUGAGGCGUGAUGACGAGGCACUACGGUGCUGAAGCAACAAAUGCCCUGCUUCCAGGAAAAGCCUCUAAGCAUCAGGUAACAUCAAAUCGUACCCCAAACCGACACAGGUGGUCAGGUAGAGAAUACCAAGGCGCUUGAGAGAACUCGGGUGAAGGAACUAGGCAAAAUGGUGCCGUAACUUCGGGAGAAGGCACGCUGAUAUGUAGGUGAAGUCCCUUGCGGAUGGAGCUGAAAUCAGUCGAAGAUACCAGCUGGCUGCAACUGUUUAUUAAAAACACAGCACUGUGCAAACACGAAAGUGGACGUAUACGGUGUGACGCCUGCCCGGUGCCGGAAGGUUAAUUGAUGGGGUCAGCGCAAGCGAAGCUCUUGAUCGAAGCCCCGGUAAACGGCGGCCGUAACUAUAACGGUCCUAAGGUAGCGAAAUUCCUUGUCGGGUAAGUUCCGACCUGCACGAAUGGCGUAAUGAUGGCCAGGCUGUCUCCACCCGAGACUCAGUGAAAUUGAACUCGCUGUGAAGAUGCAGUGUACCCGCGGCAAGACGGAAAGACCCCGUGAACCUUUACUAUAGCUUGACACUGAACAUUGAGCCUUGAUGUGUAGGAUAGGUGGGAGGCUUAGAAGUGUGGACGCCAGUCUGCAUGGAGCCGACCUUGAAAUACCACCCUUUAAUGUUUGAUGUUCUAACGUUGACCCGUAAUCCGGGUUGCGGACAGUGUCUGGUGGGUAGUUUGACUGGGGCGGUCUCCUCCUAAAGAGUAACGGAGGAGCACGAAGGUUGGCUAAUCCUGGUCGGACAUCAGGAGGUUAGUGCAAUGGCAUAAGCCAGCUUGACUGCGAGCGUGACGGCGCGAGCAGGUGCGAAAGCAGGUCAUAGUGAUCCGGUGGUUCUGAAUGGAAGGGCCAUCGCUCAACGGAUAAAAGGUACUCCGGGGAUAACAGGCUGAUACCGCCCAAGAGUUCAUAUCGACGGCGGUGUUUGGCACCUCGAUGUCGGCUCAUCACAUCCUGGGGCUGAAGUAGGUCCCAAGGGUAUGGCUGUUCGCCAUUUAAAGUGGUACGCGAGCUGGGUUUAGAACGUCGUGAGACAGUUCGGUCCCUAUCUGCCGUGGGCGCUGGAGAACUGAGGGGGGCUGCUCCUAGUACGAGAGGACCGGAGUGGACGCAUCACUGGUGUUCGGGUUGUCAUGCCAAUGGCACUGCCCGGUAGCUAAAUGCGGAAGAGAUAAGUGCUGAAAGCAUCUAAGCACGAAACUUGCCCCGAGAUGAGUUCUCCCUGACUCCUUGAGAGUCCUGAAGGAACGUUGAAGACGACGACGUUGAUAGGCCGGGUGUGUAAGCGCAGCGAUGCGUUGAGCUAACCGGUACUAAUGAACCGUGAGGCUUAACCUUACAACGCCGAAG
Molecule: ribosomal RNA, 2925 nt
Filed under: Escherichia coli
Lineage: Bacteria; Pseudomonadati; Pseudomonadota; Gammaproteobacteria; Enterobacterales; Enterobacteriaceae
Description: partial 23S ribosomal RNA
Rfam family: Bacterial large subunit ribosomal RNA
Source: RNAcentral